This 69-nucleotide transfer RNA is filed under the name Verrucomicrobiota bacterium. Its description in RNAcentral is "Verrucomicrobia bacterium (microbial mat metagenome) tRNA-Ser". It matches the Rfam family "tRNA". From Rfam's summary of the family: Transfer RNA (tRNA) molecules are approximately 80 nucleotides in length. Lineage: Bacteria; Pseudomonadati; Verrucomicrobiota. The record is from RNAcentral.
AGUCCGUAAAUCCGAUCAGGUUGACUUUUAAUCAAUUGGUUCGGGGUUCGAGUCCCCGACGGCCUACCA